RNAcentral lists this transfer RNA (69 nucleotides) under Bacteriophage sp. Its description in RNAcentral is "tRNA-Pro". It matches the Rfam family "tRNA". From Rfam's summary of the family: Transfer RNA (tRNA) molecules are approximately 80 nucleotides in length. Their secondary structure includes four short double-helical elements and three loops (D, anti-codon, and T loops). The record is from RNAcentral. RNAcentral also lists the same sequence under 1 other name.
GAGAAUGUGGUGUAGUGGUAACACACUCGCUUUGGGAGCGAGGGAGGCAGUCCGAUUCUGACAUUUUCG